This 416-nucleotide ribosomal RNA is filed under the name Metaspathius sharkeyi. RNAcentral describes it as "partial 16S ribosomal RNA". The record is from RNAcentral. Lineage: Eukaryota; Metazoa; Arthropoda; Insecta; Hymenoptera; Braconidae.
GUCUUAAAGAAAUUAAUUCUAAGUCCAAUCUGCCCAAUGAAAAAUUAAAUGGCUGCAGUAUUAGUAACUGUACAAAGGUAGCAUAAUAAUUAGAUUUUUAAUUGAAAUCUAGAAUGAAAGAUUAAAUGAAAUAUAAACUAUAUCAAUAAAAUAAAUAAUUAAAUUUAAAAUUUAAGUAAAAAUUCUUAAAUAUAAUUAAAAGACAAGAAGACCCUAUAGAAUUUUAUAUAUUAUUAAAUAAAUAACUUAUUAAAUAAUAUAUUUAAUUGGGGUAAUUUUAAAAUUUAUUAAAUUUUUAUUUAUAAUAAACAUAAAUUAAUGAAAUAUUAAUCCUAAAAUUUAGAUUAAUAAAAUUAAUUACCUUAGGGAUAACAGCGUAAUUUUUUUUGAAAGACCAAAUUAAUAAAAAAGUUUAC